Clupea harengus (Atlantic herring) is the source of this 4561-nucleotide long non-coding RNA. The record is from Ensembl. NCBI's taxonomy places the organism in Eukaryota, Metazoa, Chordata, Actinopteri, Clupeiformes, Clupeidae.
UUUUUUUUUUUUUUUUGUCCCUGCUUUUUCUUUUUCCUUUCUCCCUUUGAUAGCAGGGUUAGAGUUAUCAUGCAGCCCUCAGCGCCUUUUCUGUCAGCCUCUCCUUCUUUCUGGGGCUUAAGCCUGUGUCCCUAAUGACAGGAAUUAAAGGAGGGAUAAGAGAUGUUGAGCUGGUGGUGAGGUCUGGUCAGGUGGUUGGAAAGAAAAUCAAGCUACUGUGCCUUCUGUAUGGCCUUUGAGUCAACCUUCGAUCAGUAGUCUGGGGACGGGGGGGAACUUGAUCCAUUUUCUACUUUGCGUGGCCCGUGACAUUAUCCCCCAGUGCUGGGCCUGCUAGUUAGGGUCUAAAAAAAGCCUGCGUGCGUGUGUUAAUAUGGGUGCGCCAGUGUGUUUGUGCAGACCAGCAGGCUAUCAGUGACGUAAUAGUGCCUACCACAAAUGAGGAAGUGUGUGUGAGUUGGGGUGGGGGUGGGGGGUAUGGGUGGGUGGCACAUUCCUGAAGGAUGGCCGAUCUUUCAUAGCACCGUAAGACUUUCAAGACUCCUCUAACAUCCUUAGAUGCGAAGAUGAAAAGUGGGACAAAAUGAAUUUAUGAAUUUGUAUCCUUGGUUUUCUCCUCAGUGUAACUUUCAAAUGGUUUUGCUUUAGUUCAUAUUGACCUAGUUAACAAAGCUCUUAGUGGAGCUGCACAGUGUCCCCCUCUGCUUUUGGGACUUUUGGCAGGAGUGUAAGACUAAUGUCUUGUAAGUGUGUGUGUGUGGAUAGCUCUUUGUGUGUGUGUGUGUGAUGAAGUGCCGUGCGUUUUGGUUGUUCACCUAACACACCUGACUUCGAACCACUGCAAUGAGUGUGUCUUUUUUUAUAUAAUUGUGUGGGUAAAAUGCAUUGAGAUCUUGCAGGUGUGUGAAUAUUUGAAGCGACACGUACUUGGUGUCCUGCAGGGCUGGGGUUGCUGAAGCUUGGCGCUAGGCCUUUAAACUGACAGACUAACCAACCUGCUGCCGUCGCGUUCGGUUUGGGUAGAGGCGCCAGCCACCAAACAUGCGCGAGUUAACGCGUGUUUGUGUUCAAAGUACUUUAGGCUGCAUCAGCUUCUCUUUCUUCACCUUAAGUCUGUGGUGGUAGAUGCCUCUCUGACACACAGAGGACUGAGGAGGCCGGGUGUAUGGGGGGUUUAUCAUUGCGCACAGAGCUCCUCUAUCUCCAAGCUGCUGUUGCCAGUGUGCCCCCUCCCCCCCACCCCCACCACCACUCCCAAGCCCCCUCAACCCCCCCCCAAGGCUGUCUGUGACACAUUCGAUAAAAUGCGUAAAAGCGUUGUCAUAGAAAUGGUCCUCCUGUGGCAUAGGGUGUGACCUCCGUACAAGCACAAGACGGUUCUACUCCGUGCACUGUGUGAGCUGCUUGGCUCCCUCUGUGCCUGGGGAUCGAAGCACUCAAAAGCAGGACAUGCACGCACAGUGAGAGAUUAUCUUGGUCUGUGACAGGAAAAUGUCCACCGCCUAAAAUAAAAAAAUGUGCUGAGGAAGAUGGGCUUCGGCACAUUUAACAUUGUGUGUCUGUUGAUCUGUAGUGGAGAACAGUGAACAAACUUGUGGUACACAAACAAACAGUGAAACAAACAAAGCAGGACUGCAGGCCACCAUUGAUUGCAGGUGUUGUUUUACACCAGAAGCUGCCUUGCUUGGUACGUCUCCAUAGAGAUGGGCGUAUUGUGAAGUGCACUGGUUCAAUCAGGAACAAAAUGGCUGUUAUGUAAGAGGACAGCCUGGGUUCAGCCAUGGCCUUAUGAGAGUGUGAACAUUGCGGUUAGAGAACUGUAUCUCGCUCGUUCUUACAUUUAUUGAAGCACAAACAAAGCGUGACCUCCUUUUGACUGGAGUUUCAGGAAGCUCGCGCGUGACAGUGUGGAGGAUGUGGUGUGGUGAGGGCGCACAGCCCUCAGUGUGCUCUUCAGUUUGUAGAUAGACGUCUUCUCUAAAGCCUGUAGUUGUGUAUGAUCUUAUCGACCCCUAUUCUCUCAGUGAACUAAGUAAUGCUGCCACAGCUCUUCAGUUAAUACUUUGAGAGUUUGAGGCACAUGGUGAAAAGCAUGUUUUUUUUGGCAGAUAAGGGGAAUGCUAUUUACUGGUGCCCCCUAGAUGUGUGUGUUACUUUUUUGGGGAUAUCUGUGAAUAACUCUAGAAGUGCAUGUUUUUGUAAGCAAUAGACAUGAAUGAACGAGUUUGUUUGUUUGUUGUUCAUCUCCGUCCCUUCCUGAAAGUUACUGAAACCGGAUUUAAAUGGUUCUGAUGUUAGGGAUAAGGGCCCCUAAAUGGCCCUUGUGGUGCUCGUUCAGUAUUUGUGUGAGCACAUUUUCUGCCAAAUACAUGUUUACUUUUUUUUCUUCUUCUUUUUGUUUUCUCCAAAAGAAGGGCUAUUGUUCAUGACAUGACAUGUGCGCAAUGGUUUGCAUCCACCACUGCAGUUUAUGGUCGCGUUGACACGCGUACGAUUGUAAUUUUUCUCUCCCUCUGUAUAUCUGCAUGAGUAACUUUUCAUUUUUCCAGUUGUGUAACAAAUAGUUUUUUUUUUACCCCUCGGCGAGAAUCAAGAGGUGUGUACCACCUGUGUCUCUCUGUCUCAUUGGUCCCAGAGCAUCAACUACCUAUCUCAUUUUUUCCAUGUGCCUGUUGUUGCAGUAGCACAGAGGCCAGCAGUCGUGCCUCAUGUAAUCCUGUAAGGCCAUGGUUACACAGAGCUCUGCAUUGAAGAAGGUUGGCAAUUUGAAAAUGUCAAAUAGAACCAUUUUCCUCUCAGUGGUUGGGUGGCAUAUGAGAAAAAUGUAAUGAAUGUCACGAGCUGCCCAUAAAUAUACCGGUUAUGAAAUGUCCUGACUGAUUUUUCUGAUUAGUUCAUACUCAUGCAGUGCAGUUGGCAUGAUAUGAAAUAAUUCUGAUCCACUGUAUCUGGGAGAAUUCCUACAGCUUUAAGUAUUGUUUAUUAUGUCAUUUAUUAUUCCGAUUCAGACUCGUAGACUGGAAACAUCUUGAUCCCAGCAGUCCCUUUAAUAGCCCUCCUGUGUCAUCUCUUAAAUCAUUUUCACAGACUACAAAGAAAAACUAUAUAUCCUGGAACAUGCUUGAGGCUAGCAGGUUCCUUAAGGACAGGUUUCAUCAGUAGAACAUCAUUCGUAAUGUGGAUGUUUACAGUUUCUGUGCCUUGCUCCCACUAGGACAGAACUCUCUUGAGUGAUGCAUUCCCAUCUGCUCCUGCCCCUCCCCUGUCUCUUUCUCCCUCAGCUAAAGCCUCAAUCACUGUCCUGUACUGUAACAAACAAGGCUAUGCAAAAAACAACAAAACAAAAAAAAAAAACAGAUGACCUACUGUCGUAUGCUGCAAUAACCCUCUCUUUGUAUGUCCUCCGUGAUGGUCCAUCUGAGCAAUACUCUCCCUCACUACUUGUUGCACUGUACCCCAUUUUGGCAAUAUGUAAUUUUCUUUAUUUAAAAAAAAAAAAAAAAACUUUACAAAAUGAUCUAAAGGCUCAGAAUGAAACAAACGCUUGUUCAUUACUGUGCUGGUUGGUCCUCAGAGUAUACAUUUAGAUUAUUUCCUCGGGGUUUAAAAAAAAAAAAAAAAAAAAACUUCAGAAAAGCCAUUGCCGUUUUGUUCAGGCAGAUAAGUCCAUAAGGUGAUUAUUCUUAAGCUAAUUCAUAUUGUUUUGUGUUAAAGUGAAAGUACUUUAGUUCACGAUGGACUUAUCAUUGUUUUUUCCCCCCUGCAUGUUGUUGCAGUGUGAUUCACUGUGAGUAAUCCUCUGUGGUCUUCAUGAACACUGUUGGAAGCUUUCCAGCAAGUCGAUGUCUGAUGUCAUUGCCUUUUAUCAAUCUCGUCUCCUCAGGAGUUUGUCUACGGGAUGACGUGUAUUACCAAGCUCAGUCUCUGUGGUAGCCUUUUUGAGUGUAAUUACAACCACUUCUUCUCAAUGUUUUGUGUGGUUUUGCUCUCGGGUGUGCUUGCAGGCUCUGUCAGAUCAAUGGAUGUAAUGUCAUCGCCACAACCAAGACAUGGAUGACUAUUAUUUGUGGCAUCGUCAAAGAUACUGUACCUGAUGCCAUAAUAUUAUAAAGGAUCAGUAAUCAUUUCCUUAACAUGUAUCUGAUAUACUUAUCUCAUACAAUAUGGGGCUCACAUUUAAUUAUGCUGUUCAACAACGUUCAGCUAAGCAGCAUAUACUCACUACUUCACACAAUGCUUGGUUUAUAUGACUGAUAUUUCUUAUUAUUUUGUCUUUUUCUCAUUUUUGUUGGGUGGUAGUGGUUAAUCACAUGCCAACGUUGUGGUUGAUUUGUGUGCAGAAUGAAACAUGGGCGGGGAGGAGGGUACUAACAGGAAGUAGUUGCUCACAAGCACAGGCUCAUCUCACAUUUUUUCCCCCACCCAAAACGACGCCAAAAAAAAAGAAGAGAAAAACUAAAGUGAAUACAAGCACUGAAAUGAGUGGAAUGUUCUAAUCCUCUGGUUUUAGUUUAAAAUAAAUAAAAAGGUCUGCAGUGUACUCUUUUCGCUUAUCAUUUGU